Molecule: RNA transcript, 2923 nt
Organism: Ahaetulla prasina
Lineage: Eukaryota; Metazoa; Chordata; Lepidosauria; Squamata; Colubridae
Gene: PAQR3
Gene name: progestin and adipoQ receptor family member 3
Exons: 9
Source: RefSeq, a predicted model, not a curated record
AUCUCAACCCACUCUCGUCCCGCGCUUCACUGUUUAUGUGUCUUAGGCCACGCCCCCUGCACGUGCUCCGUUGGCGAGCGAAGGGGGGGAAGAGCAAGAGUGGGAAAGCCGUUCCUAUUGGUGCGCUGUCGGCUUUUCACCGUGACGUCAACGCUAAGCGACCGUCGCGAAGCUCUGGCGCCAUCCGAGCGGGCCUAGGCGACCAGAGGCGUGAGGGAGCGACGCAAUGGCCGCUUAGGGACCGUUGGGAGAAGGAGGCGGCGAGGAGGAGGAGAAGGACAGAAGGGAGCCCCUUUUGGCCGCCAGGAUGCUUGAAGGGCUGAGGCGGCUUCAGCUGCUCAGAUGGCGGCAGCGACGGCGGCGGCAGCAGCAGCGACCGGGAUAACUUAUAACAGAAGUCAAAAGCCUUGUGUAUUGCUACAUGUUUACUCUUGCCUUGGUUGAUGACUUGAAGCAUUACUAAAAUGCACCAGAAACUCUUGAAGAGCUCUCAUUACAUUGAGCUGGGAAGUUAUCAGUAUUGGCCUGUUCUCGUUCCUCGAGGAAUUCGUUUAUACACCUAUGAACAGAUUCCUGUGUUCCUUAAGGAUAAUCCUUACAUCACUGACGGCUACAGAGCGUACCUGCCUUCUAGGCUGUGUUUAAAAAGUCUGUUUGUUUUGUCCAAUGAGACAAUCAAUAUCUGGAGUCAUUUGCUGGGCUUCUUUCUCUUCUUCACUUUGGGCAUAUACGACAUGACUUCUGUGUUGCCUUCUGCGAAAGCUUCUAGAGAAGAUUUUGUUAUUUGUUCUAUUUGCCUUUUUUGCUUUCAGGUCUGUAUGCUUUGUUCAGUAGGGUAUCACCUCUUCUGCUGUCAUCGCUCAGAGAAGACCAGUCGAAGAUGGAUGGCAUUGGAUUACGCAGGAAUUUCGAUCGGGAUCCUAGGCUGCUAUGUGUCCGGAGUUUUUUAUGCGUUUUACUGUAGUAACUACUGGCGUCAAGUAUACUUGAUCACGGUGCUUGCUAUGAUCUUGGCAGUAUUCUUCGCUCAGAUUCACCCCAGUUACCUCACUCAGCAAUGGCAUCGGCUGCGCUCGGCCAUCUUCUGCUCUGUGUCAGGCUACGGAAUUAUUCCCACCGUUCACUGGAUUUGGCUUAACGGAGGCAUCACGGCAUCUAUUGUACAGGAAUUCGCUCCCCGAGUGAUUGUGAUGUACUUAAUAGCUGUCACAGCAUUUCUCUUCUAUAUUUCUAAAGUCCCAGAAAGGUAUUUUCCAGGACAGCUAAACUACCUCGGCUCCAGCCACCAACUUUGGCACAUUCUUGCUGUGGUGAUGUUAUAUUGGUGGCACCAAUCAACCAUGUACAUCAUGGAGUACCGACACAGCAAGCCUUGCCUGGAUUAGACCAAUGCACCCAAAGUGCAUCAAGAAUUUCAUCCUUGUACCGAAGUUUGGACAUUGAAUGUCUGCAUUUAAUGCUGAUUUUAGGAGCAACAGCCACCGUUCUUGUUGAAUCCUCUUUCUUUUAGGAAUAAUAUGUUAAUAGGCACUCCUGAUACCAUUGAUCUCCAUCAGCUGAGUAACUUUGUCCACUUACGGAAAUUGAAAGAACUGCAGAUAACUCUGUUGUAUUUAAACAACUUUUCUUUGAACUACUGACAUAUAUAAAUUAUAAUAAAACUUGGAUGUGGGGACUGUUUGUGCUAUCAAGAAAAGUUCUCCAAAGUGCAUGCAUGUGAAGUUCUUAUGACAUUUGCAUGCCGGGAUCUCACUUGAAAACCCAUGUUAACUGUACCUUUUUAAUGUGCUCUGUGUUGUUGCGCUGACGUUCCAUUUGAAAAAAAAAGAAUUCAAAUAUAAUACAGAUUUUUUUUAUUGGAGUUCCUUUUCCUUUCAAUAAAAGAGUCUCCAUAGAUUAUCGCAGGGUAACUUUUAUCUUCAAACCAAGUGUUGGACCCAUCGGUCAAUUUAGAAUUAAACCAUCGUUUUCUGAUUUUGGGAGCUUGUAGUCAAUGGGUCAAACAUGUGACAAGGGUCAGAAGAUUUUAGACUGGACUACAAAUUGCUACAAGUAACACUCGCCACAAACCUGACCUGCUUGCUACUACUUGGAUAAGUGGAAUGCUUCUAAGCCAUUCUUCAGGAUAGUACCUGCCUAAUGCCAAACGCAAAGUGCUUGCUUGUGCCUUGACAGCACUUCCUGCUGCCUUGGAAAUUUUGGAAGAAAGAGGUAAAUUCAGCCAAUGCAGGGGGGAAAAAAUCUAACUAGCAAGUGUGGCCAUCUCGGGUUUUGAGAUUCCAGCAGCCAUGUCUUCACAGCCUAGUGCCAAAAGGGGAUUUGCAAAGAAGAACGAAAGAAGGCAUUAUGCUGCUCUAAUGUACGUUUUUUGGACGCUUUCCGGAAGCAAAACGCAACGAAACAGCAAUACCAGAUUUCCACCUCUGAAGGCCGUAACUGCCCUAGGACUACCAGCAAAGUUGAUACGUGCCAUGAUCUGCCAAAGAAGCUGCAAGCAUGGCCAUAGACACUUCUGGAAGAAGUUUUAUGGUUUACCGUGAAUGCAACCAGUUCUUCUAACGGAUUCCUCUCCAACAUCUUUAUCCAUCUCCUAUGCCUUCCAUUUGUUUCAUGCUUUUAUUGUUUUUUGUUUUUUGCCUGACACUAAAAUGAAAGCUACAGCUUUAUUUCAGAUUUAUUCCUCUUGUCUGGGACAACCCGUUACAGAAAAAUCUGGAGGAACCUUUAACUGUACAUUCACAGUUCACUAUAGGAGACGUAUGUCAUGGCACCACCGCUUUUGCUCUACUUCGUCACCUUCAAUUUUUAACUGCCUAGGAAAGUCAUUAAAAUUGUUUGCACUCCCAAGUAUAAAGGCAAUUUUAUCAGAUUGCGCUGUAGGUGUUGUGUAAAAUAGUGCUUCAAUAAAUGGUUUGCCAAAAGG